This 75-nucleotide transfer RNA is filed under the name Candidatus Blochmannia ocreatus (nom. nud.). RNAcentral's name for it is "Candidatus Blochmannia ocreatus tRNA-Met". It matches the Rfam family "tRNA". From Rfam's summary of the family: Transfer RNA (tRNA) molecules are approximately 80 nucleotides in length. The record is from RNAcentral. Lineage: Bacteria; Pseudomonadati; Pseudomonadota; Gammaproteobacteria; Enterobacterales; Enterobacteriaceae.
AGCUACGUAGCUCAGAUUGGUUAGAGCGCAGCACUCAUAAUGCUGAGGUUACGGGUUCAAAUCCCGUCGUAGCUA